GAUGAACGCUGGCGGCGUGCCUAAUACAUGCAAGUCGAGCGAACGGACGAGAAGCUUGCUUCUCUGAUGCUAGCGGCGGACGGGUGAGUAACACGUGGAUAACCUACCUAUAAGACUGGGAUAACUUCGGGAAACCGUAGCUAAUACCGGAUAAUAUUUUGAACCGCAUGGUUCAAAAGUGAAAGACGGUCUUGCUGUCACUUAUAGAUGGAUCCGCGCUGCAUUAGCUAGUUGGUAAGGUAACGGCUUACCAAGGCAACGAUGCAUAGCCGACCUGAGAGGGUGAUCGGCCACACUGGAACUGAGACACGGUCCAGACUCCUACGGGAGGCAGCAGUAGGGAAUCUUCCGCAAUGGGCGAAAGCCUGACGGAGCAACGCCGCGUGAGUGAUGAAGGUCUUCGGAUCGUAAAACUCUGUUAUUAGGGAAGAACAUAUGUGUAAGUAACUGUGCACAUCUUGACGGUACCUAAUCAGAGAGCCACGGCUAACUACGUG
This 497-nucleotide ribosomal RNA is filed under the name uncultured bacterium. RNAcentral describes it as "partial 16S ribosomal RNA". It matches the Rfam family "Bacterial small subunit ribosomal RNA", at positions 28 to 507 of the family's 1533-position model. The record is from RNAcentral.